GUUAGGGACAAUGAAAUGUUUUGUCUUAUUGAAUAUCAUUUUCUUUUUAAUUUUCUGUCCUGCUUGAGGAUGUAGUUUUAGAGGAAAUGAAUUUGUUGGUAGUCUUGAACAGUUAACAAACUUUUAGGUAAAGUUAGGUUCGUUUGCUCCGUUAUAAAUUCAUACUUUUUAUACUGUGCAAACAUUUUCUGAGUGUAACAUGAGUUAUUCUAGUGUUAUGAACUAGGUUAUGUCAGUUUCUUAACAACCCAUCAAUUAAAUAUCUAUGUUGAUUUCUACAGGGAAGCUGGUCAUCAUUGCUAACAACUGUCCUCCCCUUAGGAAGUCUGAGAUAGAGUACUAUGCAAUGUUGGCAAAAGUUGGAGUUCACCACUACAAUGGCAGUAAGUAGUAGUGGCUUAAUUCCAUGUUUCUUAUGGUUAAUGCCCAGUUUUAUGUUGUGCGCAGCCCGUAAAGAUUGCCUUCCUAAUAACCAUGGAAGCUUUUUGAGUCAUAGCUGUGUAAUAUUAAACUCUGUUUGGGCGUUCUCUCAAGGCUUUUCCUAUUGCACUCUUUUGUAUCCUACAUAUUUUGUUCACAAGGCUUCUGUUUUUCUUUGGAUCCUAAUCUCCUUGCUUUAUGGACCCUUAGAUAAGUAGUUAUAAAAGCUAUUUUUAUCUUGGAUGCUUCAAGAAGUGGAUAUGUCUAAAGACAGUAAUGUGUAGCAUGCACUUGAUUUGAUGCAUGAUGAUAUCGAACUUCAUUGGUUUUCAUAAUCACAGGUUGUAAAAUUUAUGUAGGUUGGUUUUCUGAAUUUUAUAAAAUUUGCUAUAUUUUUCUUGUGCAUUCUGUCAUAGUUUCUGUCAAAAUUUAUGCACUUCUCAUGCACAAGUUGGCAUAUUAACCAUUUCUGUGGCACACAUCUCAUGACACUGCAAAUGGUUGUGAAUUUGAAGCAGCUUCCAUCUUAAGGGCGUGGUUAGGUCUUGGUGUCUGUUGAACAUUAUAGCCUUUUAGGGAUAGACUGAAUGCAACCAUAACCUUCAAACUUGUUGCAUCCAAGUGGCUAUGCAGAUUAUGUGGUCAUAUCAACUAUAUUUUCAAGUUUUGCUUUAAGUUGAUUUGGAGGUGUGUGUUUGAUUGCUCUUAUUUCUUUCUUUUUCUUCUUCUUCUUACCACCACUACAACAGCUAUCACUUUUACUACUAAUACUUCUUUUUACUUGGGAAGGGUUGACGUCAUCUCUGGUCAAUGUGAUAAUUUUUGUUUUUGUUAUUAUUAUUUCAGACAAUGUAGACUUGGGUACUGCUUGUGGCAAAUAUUUCAGAGUGUGCUGCCUGAGCAUUAUG
This 1328-nucleotide unclassified non-coding RNA is filed under the name Hevea brasiliensis (rubber tree). Lineage: Eukaryota; Viridiplantae; Streptophyta; Magnoliopsida; Malpighiales; Euphorbiaceae. The record is from RNAcentral.